Long non-coding RNA from Macrobrachium nipponense, 873 nucleotides. RefSeq lists it as uncharacterized. The transcript is spliced from 5 exons. The record is from RefSeq and is a predicted model, not a curated record. NCBI's taxonomy places the organism in Eukaryota, Metazoa, Arthropoda, Malacostraca, Decapoda, Palaemonidae.
UUGAGCUGCUGCGGACUCGGGUAGAAGCUGAAAACUGAAUUCCUGAAUCAGUAGCGUGAUAGCUGUAGAGUGAGGAGCAUAUUGUACUAUUUGUGUUGGUUGCAUUUAAGUUGCGAAAGUGUUCCGACGUUUCCUUUCCUCAGCCAUGAGCAAAAUUAGGGUCCACGUGGAAUAUUGCGGGUCGUGAGGUUACGCCUCCAAGUUCCGCAAGUUGCAAGCGGAACUUGAGGCGAAGUUCCCUGGCCAGCUGGAAAUAGUUGGCGAAAGAACCCCGACUAGAACGGGUCACUUUGAAGUAACCGUUGGAGACACAUUGGUGCACAGCAGAAAGAACGGCGAUGGCCACGUCGAUGAUGAAGAGAAGAGCAACAAGAUAACGGACGCCAUCGCCAGCGCUCUGGAGGGAUAGGUCAGAAACCAUAGAAGAGACACAGUCAGGUUAAGACAACGGCAAUCCUACCAUGGGAACUGGACGAAAUGAAGCUUAUGGUCCAAAAUCCCUGCAGGGAAAGGCCUCCAGCGGAAGACUGCCCCGGCAGGUGCAGUCCUCGUGGGAUGAUGCUGUUGCCUGAUGCCUGGAAAGACGUUUGGAAACUGGAAUGAAGAUCACUACGGUCGUCGACGCUUUCCGAAAGACGGCUGGAGAAAUCACAUUUGUUUUAUUUACCAAUUUUCAGAGUUAGCAUCACGGAAAUUUUGGUCAUGACAGAUGUUAAGAAAAAUCGCACAAUUUUCGGAAUUAUCUAUUAAAUUUCAUUUGUUUUAUUUUAGUUGAGUGAGCACGUCACUGUCAUAGGUGGCAAUAAAAUUAUUCAAAAAUGUCAAUAUUUGAUUUGGAUCAAGAAAUAAAGUUAACUUCAUGCAAGCAAUUAA